This 685-nucleotide ribosomal RNA is filed under the name uncultured bacterium. RNAcentral describes it as "bacterial SSU rRNA". It matches the Rfam family "Bacterial small subunit ribosomal RNA", at positions 102 to 806 of the family's 1533-position model. The record is from RNAcentral.
ACGGGUGAGUAACGCGUGGGUAACCUACCCUGUACACACGGAUAACAUACCGAAAGGUAUGCUAAUACGGGAUAAUAUAUUUGAGAGGCAUCUCUUGAAUAUCAAAGGUGAGCCAGUACAGGAUGGACCCGCGUCUGAUUAGCUAGUUGGUAAGGUAAAGGCUUACCAAGGCGACGAUCAGUAGCCGACCUGAGAGGGUGAUCGGCCACAUCGGAACUGAGACACGGUCCAAACUCCUACGGGAGGCAGCAGUGGGGAAUAUUGCACAAUGGGCGAAAGCCUGAUGCAGCAACGCCGCGUGAGUGAUGAAGGCCUUCGGGUCGUAAAACUCUGUCCUCAAGGAAGAUAAUGACGGUACUUGAGGAGGAAGCCCCGGCUAACUACGUGCCAGCAGCCGCGGUAAUACGUAGGGGGCUAGCGUUAUCCGGAUUUACUGGGCGUAAAGGGUGCGUAGGCGGUCUUUCAAGUCAGGAGUGAAAGGCUACGGCUCAACCGUAGUAAGCUCUUGAAACUGGGAGACUUGAGUGCAGGAGAGGAGAGUGGAAUUCCUAGUGUAGCGGUGAAAUGCGUAGAUAUUAGGAGGAACACCAGUUGCGAAGGCGGCUCUCUGGACUGUAACUGACGCUGAGGCACGAAAGCGUGGGGAGCAAACAGGAUUAGAUACCCUGGUAGUCCACGCUGUAAA